GGGUUGUGAGGUUAAGCGACUAAGCGUACACGGUGGAUGCCCUGGCAGUCAGAGGCGAUGAAGGGCGUGCUAAUCUGCGAUAAGCGCCGGUAAGGUGAUAUGAACCGUUAUAACCGGCGAUACCCGAAUGGGGAAACCCAGUGUGAUUCGUCACACUAUCAUUAACUGAAUCCAUAGGUUAAUGAGGCGAACCGGGGGAACUGAAACAUCUAAGUACCCCGAGGAAAAGAAAUCAACCGAGAUUCCCCCAGUAGCGGCGAGCGAACGGGGAGGAGCCCAGAGCCUGAAUCAGCAUGUGUGUUAGUGGAAGCGUCUGGAAAGGCGCGCGAUACAGGGUGACAGCCCCGUACACAAAAGCGCAUGUGCUGUGAGCUCGAUGAGUAGGGCGGGACACGUGGUAUCCUGUCUGAAUAUGGGGGGACCAUCCUCCAAGGCUAAAUACUCCUGACUGACCGAUAGUGAACCAGUACCGUGAGGGAAAGGCGAAAAGAACCCCGGCGAGGGGAGUGAAAAAGAACCUGAAACCGUGUACGUACAAGCAGUGGGAGCACAGGUUUACCUGUGUGACUGCGUACCUUUUGUAUAAUGGGUCAGCGACUUAUAUUCUGUAGCAAGGUUAACCGAAUAGGGGAGCCGGAGGGAAACCGAGUCUUAAUUGGGCGUUAAGUUGCAGGGUAUAGACCCGAAACCCGGUGAUCUAGCCAUGGGCAGGUUGAAGGUUGGGUAACACUAACUGGAGGACCGAACCGACUAAUGUUGAAAAAUUAGCGGAUGACCUGUGGCUGGGGGUGAAAGGCCAAUCAAACCGGGAGAUAGCUGGUUCUCCCCGAAAGCUAUUUAGGUAGCGCCUCGUGAAUUCAUCUCCGGGGGUAGAGCACUGUUUCGGCUAGGGGGCCAUCCCGGCUUACCAACCCGAUGCAAACUGCGAAUACCGGAGAAUGUUAUCACGGGAGACACACGGCGGGUGCUAACGUCCGUCGUGAAGAGGGAAACAACCCAGACCGCCAGCUAAGGUCCCAAAGUCAUGGUUAAGUGGGAAACGAUGUGGGAAGGCCCAGACAGCCAGGAUGUUGGCUUAGAAGCAGCCAUCAUUUAAAGAAAGCGUAAUAGCUCACUGGUCGAGUCGGCCUGCGCGGAAGAUGUAACGGGGCUAAACCAUGCACCGAAGCUGCGGCAGCGACACUGUGUGUUGUUGGGUAGGGGAGCGUUCUGUAAGCCUGCGAAGGUGGCCUGUGAGGGUUGCUGGAGGUAUCAGAAGUGCGAAUGCUGACAUAAGUAACGAUAAAGCGGGUGAAAAGCCCGCUCGCCGGAAGACCAAGGGUUCCUGUCCAACGUUAAUCGGGGCAGGGUGAGUCGACCCCUAAGGCGAGGCCGAAAGGCGUAGUCGAUGGGAAACGGGUUAAUAUUCCCGUACUUGGUGUUACUGCGAAGGGGGGACGGAGAAGGCUAUGUUGGCCGGGCGACGGUUGUCCCGGUUUAAGCGUGUAGGUGUGUGUUCCAGGUAAAUCCGGUUCACUUUAACACUGAGGCGUGACGACGAGGCACUACGGUGCUGAAGCAACAAAUGCCCUGCUUCCAGGAAAAGCCUCUAAGCAUCAGGUAACAUCAAAUCGUACCCCAAACCGACACAGGUGGUCAGGUAGAGAAUACCAAGGCGCUUGAGAGAACUCGGGUGAAGGAACUAGGCAAAAUGGUGCCGUAACUUCGGGAGAAGGCACGCUGACACGUAGGUGAAGUGAUUUACUCAUGGAGCUGAAGUCAGUCGAAGAUACCAGCUGGCUGCAACUGUUUAUUAAAAACACAGCACUGUGCAAACACGAAAGUGGACGUAUACGGUGUGACGCCUGCCCGGUGCCGGAAGGUUAAUUGAUGGGGUCAGCGCAAGCGAAGCUCCUGAUCGAAGCCCCGGUAAACGGCGGCCGUAACUAUAACGGUCCUAAGGUAGCGAAAUUCCUUGUCGGGUAAGUUCCGACCUGCACGAAUGGCGUAAUGAUGGCCAGGCUGUCUCCACCCGAGACUCAGUGAAAUUGAACUCGCUGUGAAGAUGCAGUGUACCCGCGGCAAGACGGAAAGACCCCGUGAACCUUUACUAUAGCUUGACACUGAACAUUGAGCCUUGAUGUGUAGGAUAGGUGGGAGGCUUUGAAGUGUGGACGCCAGUCUGCAUGGAGCCGACCUUGAAAUACCACCCUUUAAUGUUUGAUGUUCUAACGUGGACCCGUUACCCGGGUUGCGGACAGUGUCUGGUGGGUAGUUUGACUGGGGCGGUCUCCUCCUAAAGAGUAACGGAGGAGCACGAAGGUUGGCUAAUCCUGGUCGGACAUCAGGAGGUUAGUGCAAUGGCAUAAGCCAGCUUGACUGCGAGCGUGACGGCGCGAGCAGGUGCGAAAGCAGGUCAUAGUGAUCCGGUGGUUCUGAAUGGAAGGGCCAUCGCUCAACGGAUAAAAGGUACUCCGGGGAUAACAGGCUGAUACCGCCCAAGAGUUCAUAUCGACGGCGGUGUUUGGCACCUCGAUGUCGGCUCAUCACAUCCUGGGGCUGAAGUAGGUCCCAAGGGUAUGGCUGUUCGCCAUUUAAAGUGGUACGCGAGCUGGGUUUAGAACGUCGUGAGACAGUUCGGUCCCUAUCUGCCGUGGGCGCUGGAGAACUGAGGGGGGCUGCUCCUAGUACGAGAGGACCGGAGUGGACGCAUCACUGGUGUUCGGGUUGUCAUGCCAAUGGCACUGCCCGGUAGCUAAAUGCGGAAGAGAUAAGUGCUGAAAGCAUCUAAGCACGAAACUUGCCCCGAGAUGAGUUCUCCCUGAGACUUAGAGUCUCCUGAAGGAACGUUGAAGACGACGACGUUGAUAGGCCGGGUGUGUAAGCGCAGCGAUGCGUUGAGCUAACCGGUACUAAUGAACCGUGAGGCUUAACCUUACAACGCCGAAG
Molecule: ribosomal RNA, 2928 nt
Filed under: Salmonella enterica
Lineage: Bacteria; Pseudomonadati; Pseudomonadota; Gammaproteobacteria; Enterobacterales; Enterobacteriaceae
Also listed under: 2 other names
Description: 23S ribosomal RNA
Rfam family: Bacterial large subunit ribosomal RNA
Source: RNAcentral